GUAUCCGUAGCUCAGCUGGAUAGAGCACAAGCCUCCGACGCUUGGUGCCGCUGGUUCGAAUCCAGUCGGGUACACCA
RNAcentral lists this transfer RNA (77 nucleotides) under Clostridia bacterium. Its description in RNAcentral is "tRNA-Arg". It matches the Rfam family "tRNA". From Rfam's summary of the family: Transfer RNA (tRNA) molecules are approximately 80 nucleotides in length. Their secondary structure includes four short double-helical elements and three loops (D, anti-codon, and T loops). The record is from RNAcentral. Lineage: Bacteria; Bacillati; Bacillota; Clostridia.